CAAACAGAGAUGAACAAUACAAUAACUGAAAUGAAAACUACACUGGCUAUUUGGGAGAAUAAAGAAAAGACCACACUCCACAGUGAGCUAUACCACUUAGUAUAGUUCAUUACUAUUUUGUGGCCUACAUU
RNAcentral lists this small nucleolar RNA (131 nucleotides) under Phocoena sinus (vaquita). Its description in RNAcentral is "Small nucleolar RNA SNORA4 (ENSPSNG00000006736.1)". It matches the Rfam family "Small nucleolar RNA SNORA4". Rfam says of the family: ACA4 is a member of the H/ACA class of snoRNA that guide the sites of modification of uridines to pseudouridines. Lineage: Eukaryota; Metazoa; Chordata; Mammalia; Artiodactyla; Phocoenidae. The record is from Rfam by way of RNAcentral.